CAUAUCAAUAAGGCGGA
Molecule: ribosomal RNA, 17 nt
Filed under: Tulasnella calospora
Lineage: Eukaryota; Fungi; Basidiomycota; Agaricomycetes; Cantharellales; Tulasnellaceae
Description: partial 28S ribosomal RNA
Source: RNAcentral